UCAGUCGACUCCUACGGGGAGGCAGCAGUGAGGAAUAUUGGUCAAUGGGCGCAAGCCUGAACCAGCCAUGCCGCGUGCAGGAAGACUGCCCUAUGGGUUGUAAACUGCUUUAUACAGGAAGAAACACUCCCUCGUGAGGGAGCUUGACGGUACUGUAAGAAUAAGGAUCGGCUAACUCCGUGCCAGCAGCCGCGGUAAUACGGAGGAUCCAAGCGUUAUCCGGAAUCAUUGGGUUUAAAGGGUCCGUAGGUGGAUUAGUAAGUCAGAGGUGAAAUCCUGCAGCUCAACUGUAGAACUGCCUUUGAUACUGCUAGUCUUGAGUCAUUAUGAAGUGGUUAGAAUGUGUAGUGUAGCGGUGAAAUGCAUAGAUAUUACACAGAAUACCGAUUGCGAAGGCAGAUCACUAAUAAUGUACUGACACUGAUGGACGAAAGCGUGGGGAGCGAACAGGAUUAGAUACCCUGGUAG
This 468-nucleotide ribosomal RNA is filed under the name uncultured bacterium. Its description in RNAcentral is "bacterial SSU rRNA". It matches the Rfam family "Bacterial small subunit ribosomal RNA", at positions 328 to 793 of the family's 1533-position model. The record is from RNAcentral.